GUGGGGGAUAUUGCACAAUGGAGGAAACUCUGAUGCAGCGACGCCGCGUGAGUGAAGAAGUAUUUCGGUAUGUAAAGCUCUAUCAGCAGGGAAGAUAAUGACAGUACCUGACUAAGAAGCCCCGGCUAACUACGUGCCAGCAGCCGCGGUAAUACGUAGGGGGCAAGCGUUAUCCGGAUUUACUGGGUGUAAAGGGAGCGUAGACGGAACGGCAAGUUUGAAGUGAAAUACCCGGGCUUAACCCGGGAACUGCUUUGAAAACUGUCGAUCUAGAGUGUCGGAGAGGUAAGUGGAAUUCCUGGUGUAGUAGUGAAAUGCGUAGAUAUCAGGAAGAACACCGGAGGCGAAGGCGGCUUACUGGACGAUAACUGACGUUGAGGCUCGAAAGCGUGGGGAGCAAACAGGAUUAGAAACCCUAGUAGUCC
RNAcentral lists this ribosomal RNA (425 nucleotides) under uncultured bacterium. RNAcentral's name for it is "bacterial SSU rRNA". It matches the Rfam family "Bacterial small subunit ribosomal RNA", at positions 354 to 796 of the family's 1533-position model. The record is from RNAcentral.